CCAAGGGUGUCCGAGUGGUUUAUGGUGCCAGCCUGCGAAGCUGGUACAGGUGAAAGCCUGUCGUGGGUUCGAAUCCCAUCCCUUCCGCAA
RNAcentral lists this transfer RNA (90 nucleotides) under Paraburkholderia phytofirmans PsJN. RNAcentral describes it as "tRNA-Arg". It matches the Rfam family "tRNA". From Rfam's summary of the family: Transfer RNA (tRNA) molecules are approximately 80 nucleotides in length. Lineage: Bacteria; Pseudomonadati; Pseudomonadota; Betaproteobacteria; Burkholderiales; Burkholderiaceae. The record is from RNAcentral. RNAcentral also lists the same sequence under 2 other names.